RNAcentral lists this ribosomal RNA (964 nucleotides) under Flavobacterium sp. URHB0058. RNAcentral's name for it is "bacterial SSU rRNA". It matches the Rfam family "Bacterial small subunit ribosomal RNA", at positions 91 to 1062 of the family's 1533-position model. Lineage: Bacteria; Pseudomonadati; Bacteroidota; Flavobacteriia; Flavobacteriales; Flavobacteriaceae. The record is from RNAcentral.
GAGACCGGCGCACGGGUGCGUAACGCGUAUGCAAUCUACCUUUUACAGAGGGAUAGCCCAGAGAAAUUUGGAUUAAUACCUCAUAGCAUANCAACUUCGCAUGAAGUCACUAUUAAAGUCACAACGGUAAAAGAUGAGCAUGCGUCCCAUUAGCUAGUUGGUAAGGUAACGGCUUACCAAGGCUACGAUGGGUAGGGGUCCUGAGAGGGAGAUCCCCCACACUGGUACUGAGACACGGACCAGACUCCUACGGGAGGCAGCAGUGAGGAAUAUUGGACAAUGGGCGCAAGCCUGAUCCAGCCAUGCCGCGUGCAGGAUGACGGUCCUAUGGAUUGUAAACUGCUUUUAUACGAGAAGAAACACUGCUUCGUGAAGCAGCUUGACGGUAUCGUAAGAAUAAGGAUCGGCUAACUCCGUGCCAGCAGCCGCGGUAAUACGGAGGAUCCAAGCGUUAUCCGGAAUCAUUGGGUUUAAAGGGUCCGUAGGCGGUUUAAUAAGUCAGUGGUGAAAGCCCAUCGCUCAACGGUGGAACGGCCAUUGAUACUGUUAAACUUGAAUUAUUAGGAAGUAACUAGAAUAUGUAGUGUAGCGGUGAAAUGCUUAGAGAUUACAUGGAAUACCAAUUGCGAAGGCAGGUUACUACUAAUGGAUUGACGCUGAUGGACGAAAGCGUGGGUAGCGAACAGGAUUAGAUACCCUGGUAGUCCACGCCGUAAACGAUGGAUACUAGCUGUUGGAAGCAAUUUCAGUGGCUAAGCGAAAGUGAUAAGUAUCCCACCUGGGGAGUACGUUCGCAAGAAUGAAACUCAAAGGAAUUGACGGGGGCCCGCACAAGCGGUGGAGCAUGUGGUUUAAUUCNAUGAUACGCGAGGAACCUUACCANGGCUUAAAUGNANAUUGACCGUUUUGGAAACAGAACUUUCGCAAGACAAUUUACAANNGCUGCAUGGUUGUCGUCAGCUCG